UACAGAGGGUGCAAGCGUUGUUCGGAAUUAUUGGGCGUAAAGCGCGUGUAGGCGGCUUGGCAAGUCGGGUGUGAAAUCCCUCAGCUCAACUGAGGAAGUGCGCCCGAAACUGCUUGGCUUGAGUACCGGAGAGGAUGGUGGAAUUCCCGAAGUAGAGGUGAAAUUCGUAGAUAUCAGGAGGAACACCGGUGGCGAAGGCGGAUCUCUGGGCCUUACCUGACGCUCAGGCGCGAAAGCUAGGGGAGCGAACAGG
Molecule: ribosomal RNA, 253 nt
Filed under: uncultured bacterium
Lineage: Bacteria
Description: partial 16S ribosomal RNA
Rfam family: Bacterial small subunit ribosomal RNA
Source: RNAcentral